This 322-nucleotide ribosomal RNA is filed under the name uncultured eukaryote. Its description in RNAcentral is "partial 18S ribosomal RNA". It matches the Rfam family "Eukaryotic small subunit ribosomal RNA", at positions 1470 to 1796 of the family's 1831-position model. The record is from RNAcentral.
CCCUUAGAUGUUCUGGGCCGCACGCGUGCUACACUGAGUGGAUCAGCGGGUCAGGUUGCGCGAAAGCGUUUCCUAAUCUUUAAAUCCGCUCGUUAUGGGGAUUGACGGUUGCAAUUUUCUGUCAUGAACGAGGAAUACCUUGUAAGCGCGGGUCAUCAUCCCGCGCUGAAUACGUCCCUGCCCUUUGUACACACCGCCCGUCGCUCCUACCGAUUGAGUGGUCCGGUGAGGCUUUGGGAUCUGAGCGGAAAGAGCGUUUCGCUGUUUCUGCUCGGAAAACUCAGUCGAACCUUAUCAUUUAGAGGAAGGAGAAGUCGUAACA